CCUACGGGAGGCUGCAGUGGGGAAUAUUGCACAAUGGGCGCAAGCCUGAUGCAGCCAUGCCGCGUGUGUGAAGAAGGCCUUCGGGUUGUAAAGCACUUUCAGCGGGGAGGAAGGCGUUAAGGUUAAUAACCUUGGCGAUUGACGUUACCCGCAGAAGAAGCACCGGCUAACUCCGUGCCAGCAGCCGCGGUAAUACGGAGGGUGCAAGCGUUAAUCGGAAUUACUGGGCGUAAAGCGCACGCAGGCGGUCUGUCAAGUCGGAUGUGAAAUCCCCGGGCUCAACCUGGGAACUGCAUUCGAAACUGGCAGGCUAGAGUCUUGUAGAGGGGGGUAGAAUUCCAGGUGUAGCGGUGAAAUGCGUAGAGAUCUGGAGGAAUACCGGUGGUGAAGGCGGCCCCCUGGACAAAGACUGACGCUCAGGUGCGAAAGCGUGGGGAGCAAACAGGAUUAGAUACCCGUGUAGUC
This 465-nucleotide ribosomal RNA is filed under the name uncultured Klebsiella sp. RNAcentral describes it as "bacterial SSU rRNA". It matches the Rfam family "Bacterial small subunit ribosomal RNA", at positions 338 to 795 of the family's 1533-position model. The record is from RNAcentral. Lineage: Bacteria; Pseudomonadati; Pseudomonadota; Gammaproteobacteria; Enterobacterales; Enterobacteriaceae.